CCUACGGGUGGCAGCAGUGGGGAAUAUUGCACAAUGGGGGAAACCCUGAUGCAGCGACGCCGCGUGAGUGAAGAAGGAAUUCGUUAUGUAAAGCUCUAUCAGCAGGGAAGAAAAUGACGCUACCUGAGUAAGAAGCCCCGGCUAACUAUGGGCCAGCAGCCGCGGGAAUACGUAGGGGGCAAGCGUUCUCUGGAUUUACUGGGUGUAAAGGGAGCGUAGACGGCAGUGCAAGUCUGGAGUGAAAGGCGUGGGCUCAACCCCCGGACUGCACUGGAAACUGUACGGCUGGAGUGCAGGAGAGGUAAUUGGAAUUCCUAGUGUAGCGGUGAAAUGCGUAGAUAUUAGGAGGAACACCAGUGGCGAAGGCGGCUUACUGGACUGUAACUGACGUUGAGGCUCGAAAGCGUGGGGAGCAAACAGGAUUAGAUACCCGGGUAGUC
Molecule: ribosomal RNA, 440 nt
Filed under: uncultured bacterium
Lineage: Bacteria
Description: partial 16S ribosomal RNA
Rfam family: Bacterial small subunit ribosomal RNA
Source: RNAcentral